UCUUCCUACGGGGGGCAGCAGUGAGGAAUAUUGGUCAAUGGGCGGGAGCCUGAACCAGCCAAGUCGCGUGAAGGAAGAAGGUACUUAGUAUUGUAAACUUCUUUUGUCGGGGAACAAAGGCGGAGACGCGUCUCCGGAUGAGUGUACCCGAAGAAAAAGCAUCGGCUAACUCCGUGCCAGCAGCCGCGGUAAUACGGAGGAUGCGAGCGUUAUCCGGAUUUAUUGGGUUUAAAGGGUGCGCAGGCGGGAGAUCAAGUCAGCGGUAAAAUUGCGGGGCUCAACCCCGUACUGCCGUUGAAACUGCA
RNAcentral lists this ribosomal RNA (305 nucleotides) under uncultured bacterium. RNAcentral's name for it is "bacterial SSU rRNA". It matches the Rfam family "Bacterial small subunit ribosomal RNA", at positions 334 to 637 of the family's 1533-position model. The record is from RNAcentral.